ACGUACACUCCUACGGGAGGCAGCAGUGGGGAAUAUUGGACAAUGGGGGCAACCCUGAUCCAGCCAUGCCGCGUGAGUGAUGAAGGCCCUAGGGUUGUAAAGCUCUUUUGUGCGGGAAGAUAAUGACGGUACCGCAAGAAUAAGCCCCGGCUAACUUCGUGCCAGCAGCCGCGGUAAUACGAAGGGGGCUAGCGUUGCUCGGAAUCACUGGGCGUAAAGGGUGCGUAGGCGGGUCUUUAAGUCAGGGGUGAAAUCCUGGAGCUCAACUCCAGAACUGCCUUGGAUACUGAGGAUCUUGAGUCCGGAAGAGGUGAGUGGAACUGCGAGUGUAGAGGUGAAAUUCGUAGAUAUUCGCAAGAACACCAGUGGCGAAGGCGGCUCACUGGUCCGGUACUGACGCUGAGGCACGAAAGCGUGGGGAGCAAACAGGAUUAGAAACCCGGGUAGUCCCA
This 452-nucleotide ribosomal RNA is filed under the name uncultured organism. RNAcentral describes it as "partial 16S ribosomal RNA". It matches the Rfam family "Bacterial small subunit ribosomal RNA", at positions 329 to 797 of the family's 1533-position model. The record is from RNAcentral.